AACGAACGCUGGCGGCAUGCCUAACACAUGCAAGUCGAACGAGACCUUCGGGUCUAGUGGCGCACGGGUGCGUAACGCGUGGGAACCUGCCCUUAGGUUCGGAAUAACUCCCCGAAAGGGGUGCUAAUACCGGAUAAUGUCUUCGGACCAAAGAUUUAUCGCCUUUGGAUGGGCCCGCGUUGGAUUAGCUAGUUGGUAGGGUAAAAGCCUGCCAAGGGGACGAUCCAUAGCUGGUCGGGGAGGAGGAUCAGCCACACUGGGCCUGAGACACGGCCCAGACUCCUACGGGAAACAGCAGUGGAGAGUAUUGUACAAGGGGCGAAAGCCUAAUCCAGCAAUGCCGCGUGAGUGAUGAAGGCCUUAGGGUUGUAAAGCUCUUUUACCCGGGAUGAUAAUGACAGUACCGGGAGAAUAAGCUCCGGCUAACUCCGUG
This 433-nucleotide ribosomal RNA is filed under the name uncultured bacterium. RNAcentral's name for it is "partial 16S ribosomal RNA". It matches the Rfam family "Bacterial small subunit ribosomal RNA", at positions 29 to 507 of the family's 1533-position model. The record is from RNAcentral.